RNAcentral lists this ribosomal RNA (635 nucleotides) under uncultured bacterium. Its description in RNAcentral is "bacterial SSU rRNA". It matches the Rfam family "Bacterial small subunit ribosomal RNA", at positions 153 to 786 of the family's 1533-position model. The record is from RNAcentral.
GAAAAUUGGUCUAAUUCCGUAGGAGGUCAUACGAUGGCAUCAGAAUAUGACGAAAGGUCUAGCGGUGAAGGAUGGGGAUGCGUCUGAUUAGCUUGUUGGUGAGGUAACGGCUCACCAAGGCGACGAUCAGUAGGGGUUCUGAGAGGAAGGUCCCCCACAUUGGAACUGAGACACGGUCCAAACUCCUACGGGAGGCAGCAGUGAGGAAUAUUGGUCAAUGGGCGAGAGCCUGAACCAGCCAAGUAGCGUGCAGGACGACGGCCCUAUGGGUUGUAAACUGCUUUUAUAUGGGGAUAAAGUGAGUUACGUGUAGCUUAUUGCAGGUACCAUAUGAAUAAGGACCGGCUAAUCCCGUGCCAGCAGCCGCGGUAAUACGGAAGGUCCAGGCGUUAUCCGGAUUUAUUGGGUUUAAAGGGAGCGUAGGCCGCCCCUUAAGCGUGUUGUGAAAUGCCGCGGCUCAACCGUGGCACUGCAGCGCGAACUGGGGGGCUUGAGUGCACGCAACGCAGGCGGAAUUCGUGGUGUAGCGGUGAAAUGCUUAGAUAUCACGAAGAACUCCGAUUGCGAAGGCAGCUUGCGGGAGUGCGACUGACGCUGAAGCUCGAAGGUGCGGGUAUCGAACAGGAUUAGAUACC